UGGCGCCCGACCAGGGACCUGGAAACGAGGGACUCGGUGAGGAAGAGGACGCGAAAGAAGGGUCGACCGUUAACAAAGACAAAAGAAAUUAAAUUAUCAAAGGUAAGUGGCGCGUCCGAAAUGGGACAAGAAUUAAGUCAGCAUCAAAUUUAUGUAGGACAAUUAAAAGAGGCUUUAAAGAUACGAGGAGUAAAGGUUAAAGGUAAUGAUUUGUUUAAAUUUUUUGAUUUUGUAAAAGAUACUUGCCCUU
Molecule: non-coding RNA, 250 nt
Organism: Papio anubis (olive baboon)
Lineage: Eukaryota; Metazoa; Chordata; Mammalia; Primates; Cercopithecidae
Source: Rfam